This is a long non-coding RNA of Bombyx mori (domestic silkworm), 695 nucleotides long. RefSeq lists it as uncharacterized. The record is from RefSeq and is a predicted model, not a curated record. Lineage: Eukaryota; Metazoa; Arthropoda; Insecta; Lepidoptera; Bombycidae. The transcript is spliced from 3 exons.
AAAAGAAACAUCGAUCAUAUAUUACUUUUUGAUAGAUUUAAAACUAAAGAAAAGACAUGACCAAUUCGACAAAAGAAUGGAAUAUAAUGAUAAUAAUAACAAGAAUAGAAAAAGAGGUAAAAUGAGCUGUUUGCUAGAUUCAAUUUAUUACAAUGCCCAAAGCCAGAAAAAACAUCUUUAAGUUGGCAUUUCAUUGAGUACUAAAGUUGGGAAAUAAAAUUAGUUAAUGGUUGUAUGUACACAAAAAAUAAAAAGGAUUAACCGGAUGAUAAAAAAUUCACAAGCUUAAAGAGUAUAUUAAAAUUUUAAAAAUCGCAUUUAUUUCAACUAAAGAAUUAAAAAGAAAGAUCAAAAGUUAGAAGUUCUUUUCAUAUUUGAAAUAAUUUAAUCAUAUUUUAUGAUUUUCGAAUAUCAUUGAAAAUUGCAUUGUACUUAAAAGAAGUGAAAGUGAUAAAUAUAUAUAAUAAUUAAGUAACAAAUAGCGGAGGAACUGGGGAUACCUAUCAGCGACGCACUCCACCGGGCUGCAGGGCGGGAUCGAUGGAGACAGUUGGUUGACGAAAUCGGACGGAGUCACGAUCCUCAGCAGUGAGGAACCGAUCGAAGAGAGAGAGAGAGAGAACAGUUUCAUAUUAUUCGAGGAAAUUUGUAUGAUGAUUAAUAAAUGUAUACAUAUAACAUAAUUUUUUUGGCAA